Molecule: long non-coding RNA, 4102 nt
Organism: Syngnathus acus (greater pipefish)
Lineage: Eukaryota; Metazoa; Chordata; Actinopteri; Syngnathiformes; Syngnathidae
Exons: 2
Source: RefSeq, a predicted model, not a curated record
CAAAGCACUGCUUUUGUCUAAAGGAAACUCCUCAACUCACUUGAGCAGUGUUCCUUGGUCCCCACGUAAUAGUGAAUGCCAAACAGUAAACAAGUUCACUCCGUAAUAGAUACCUUGGAGUCCAGUACAUUAGUGUAGUAUGUUGCUAAUGACAGUAAUGGAGUCAUAUGUCACCGUCUUUUUCGGAGAGUAUACAUUAAGAAAAAUCAAUAACAAGGCGAAGUUCUUGUUGGCCCAUCAAUCACUUGCAGCUCUGUGAUUGUCCUCUCCUCCUUUCUGCUCUUCCUCUCACUUCCUUAUCUGUGCUCCAGACUUCCUUCUUCCUCCUCCUAUUCACCCCCCCCAACUUUUUUUUUUUUUUUUUUUCCACAGACCCCUCUCUGUUUUGGCCCUGGUAUUUUUCCACUGGAGGUGGACAGGGCACCUCUCGACUCGACAUUGUAGUAUGUGUGGGCAGGCAUGCGUCAUAUGUGUGUACUCUGCUCAUUCACUGCAUUUCACACAUAGUUUUGCAAAUCCAGCCUGUGGCCCACCAUCGCCCCCUGAAGGACACUUUUAGCCACGCUGAGUGGUUUCCUCUAGUUUAAUUAAAUCAGGGAUUUUUAAUGCAAACAUCUUGCUGAAUUUAUGCCCCAUUUAGCCUUUUGCUAUUUAUGCCUGACAGAAUGUGAGAAGGGGAGGAAAAAAGUGGGUGGGUGAAAGGAUUUAGGGGGCAGAGGGGAGGAGUAGAGGUCUGGGCAGAGGGUGAAACCGCGUGGUGAAAAAUUAGCCUGGACCAAGAGCGCUGGUUUAUUAAGUCAGCAUUAAGAGACGGAACAACCCCGAGGUGAAGACGUGAGGGGGUUGGGCUCAUUUGUGAGAAUAAAGCGAGGCUAGGCCAAGGGAGGAGAGAGUGGACACUGAUGGAUAGAUGGAAGGGGGGGGGGGAGAUGUUUGAAUGAAUGAUUUGUUUAUUCUGCAAAUGUCAAAAUGUACAUAAAAGCACUGGGAAGAGCAGAUAGUGAAGAGAAUGAGGCGAAAGAAUUGUACAAAAACAAGUCCGGGAUGCUAGGAUGACAAUUUGACGACAUUUGCUUGAUAGCAAAUCAACAAUACAUUUAUAUGAUUCGUAGUCAAUAAAUAAUAUAAAAUAAAUAUAAAAAAGUUACAUUGCUGCGAAUCACUGUCUUCAAGGACAGCUUUUUUUUUUUUAUUAUUUUGGCAGCAAAACUAGUCGAGCAAACUCUGCCGGGCCUCUCCAUGUUGUCGCAAUCGCUAAAUUAACGCCACUUGAGUGACAGAACGAGUAAUUAUCCGUUAAUCAGCGACAGUGUUAUUAAAGUCAAUAGGCUGUAAGCGAGUCAUCCAGCAGUGGAAGAACCACUGACAGCUCCUAAGGAGGUGGAAAUCUGACACACCCGACUGAAUUAAUAGGGUAUUAAAUGAGCACAUCCGAGUACGGGUCCUUAGCGCUAAACUAGCCAAACCGCAACCCCCCCCCCAAAAUGGCGGUGGCGGGAGUGCAUCGAAGGUUCAUCUGUUUAGUGUUUCGGUGUUGCUGACCGCGUUUUUUUUUUUUUGCGCGUGCGAAACAGAUACGUGUACUGCUGCUGCUGACUCGGGGGGGCCCCGUCGGUGUGUGCGCGCGAGAAGCAUAGCAACCGUGAACUCUGACCUUCUGACCCACGCGUUCCCCAGUGAAAGGGAAUGUCAGUUGUUUGACCAGCCAGUCAAGUGCUCCGGGGACAAAUGGAAGCACUGUAGUACGGUCAGGGUGAAACGGAGAAAGGGCGAGCGAUGGGCGGAGGGAGGGGAAGUGGAAAAAUGUGGCGGCAGAAUGUGACAACGGUGAAACAAGCUGCUCCCUCGCUCUCCAAAUGUUACAUUGGCGUGCAAACAUUGCCUGGUGAUGCAAAAAGCUCAUUAGUGCGAAUUGACCUACCUCUGCCGCAAACAGUCGACCUUAAUAAACAGAUGUGUUCAGGAGCCCGCGGCAUGAGUUGCCCUCAAUUGUCAUGCUGGCACCAGGCGCUAACGCUUUAUUUCAACGCAUCGCUCCAACUUGGCGCAAUGCUGCUGACCCAGGAGGAAAGACACAAUGUCCAAAGUUGGUCCAGCAGAAGCGUAGCAGCUACAUUUGCCAACGUAGCAUAGCCAUGUUAGCUCGUUUAACAUAUCGCUCUUUAAAACAUAUUGUAAUCGCCGCAAAUUGCUGAAAGAAUAGGCUCAUUCACCGGUUCGCUUUCACUCACUUUAUUGAAAAGCAGUAAGAAAACAAACAAACACCUAAAAAAACGCUUUUAUUCACAAGGACACAACUCACUGGCUAACAGGCUAGCUAGUAAACUAUCAGCUAACGCUACAUGUUAUGCCCAAGGCUUGGUCCCGCCUCUUAAAUUCCAAGCCCAAUUGAACAAAAACAUGAUCCGAACCUCACAUGUAUAUUAUUGCGAUUAAUAAUAUAAAAUCAAUAUACCAAAGUAGUUUUUAACUACAACCUUUCUGAAGUCUGCUCCUCUCUCUCUCUCUCUGUCUCUCUCUCUUAAUGAGACUAAUGUGAGCCUUCAGAGCACCUUCCCAUGAGAAUCGCACGCAGGAAAACCUGGGCUAAUUGGGUUUUGCAACAACACGAGCCCACACACACAUAAACGCACACCUGACACACACACACACACACACACACACACACACAAAAUGCAGCUUCAGUAUCACGUUAACGCGACUCUCACCCCCGUGAGAAGUGUCAGCCUGUGGCAAGCGAGAGACGAGAGAGCUUUGAUGGGCCAGAUGUAAAAGGGCGGGAAACCCGCCGCGGCCCUCGGGAACAUUUCAUCCGAUAUUUUAAAAAACAAAUGAAAACCGCCGAAUCCGCAAAUGCUCACAAUACAUCAUCAUAAACAUUUUCUGAUUGUUGCGUCAUUCGGAUACGUUUCAAAACAACUGCCAAAUAGUUUAAUUGUGAGAAAAGCACGCUCAUAAAUUGAACACAUCCGCCGCAAUCAUGGUAAAGCGAACGCUCCACGGGGGGGGGGCCAAGGUGCCGAGGUUGGAGGGGCCCCCGGAGCCUUGAGGCCUGCACGCUAUGGGGAGGGGAAGGCUAUAAUUACACCCGAUUCGUUUCUCCGCCCCUCCUUUUCUAGUCAACUCAUCGGCCCCAGACCGCUUAACAGCUUUUAAUUAGCUCGGCUAUUGGAGGCGCCGAAUAAAAGACGACUUUUCCCCCCCCCCCCCCCCCCCUUAAUGAUAAAUGGUGUUAAUGGAAUUGGCAACACUAUCCAUUUGCUCCGCUUUAGCCAAGCUAGAAAACAAAACUUUAGUUAGUUGAAAAAAAAUAAAUAUAAUAGAAAGAAACAACAAAGCAGCAUUUCAUUCUUGUCUAUAUUUUGAAUGUUUGAGGAAAGGGGGGGGGGCGAGCAAGCAACCUAACAAGUUUAGAAUUGCGCUCGGCUAACAAAGCAUGUUUUGACUGGCGGGUUACGGCUAACGCACACGUAUGCACACAUGCCGAGGCAGGAAGGAGGGGUUAAAGGCCCGUGAUUGGAGCCACUGUGUCUGCUUAGGCCAGGGGGUCCGAGAAGGAGCCACAACAACAGGAGGCGGUUUGGAGAAGAGGGGGUAAAGAGGCACCACGUCCUGCGCUUUGAUGCUAACAGACGCGCAAACGCCACACGGGAGCCACUGUCGCUUUGGUUCACAAGCAUGUUUCAAUUCAAAUUAAAAUCACACCUUGACUUUAGUUUUUAGUUUUAGAUUUUUUUUUGCAUGGCUUAACAUUAACAGUGAAAUAAUUGACUGCCAACCAAGUUGAUAUCUUGCUAACCGUCAAUGGCACUGAAUGAGUUAAAGCCCAAACUAUAUAUAUUGUUUUAAAUUUUUAAUUGGAAUAAUUUCAUUAGCUUUGAUUAACUACAGUAACCUCUGUUGAGGCGCAACCUUUGCGACGUCAAAGUGGAGACGGCGGCGAGGCUUGAAAAGAGCCGUAAAACCCGAAAGGAAGGAUGAAGAUGAAAAGAGAGCAGGAGGGCGUCAGUUUGACUCGACCCCGCCCCCUUUGUCUCCGUCUUUGAAGGAGCAAAGUAGAGAAAACAGUUUUAAAGAAAAAAAAGAGUGUGUGUGUUUUUUU